Molecule: antisense RNA, 75 nt
Filed under: Catenulispora acidiphila DSM 44928
Lineage: Bacteria; Bacillati; Actinomycetota; Actinomycetes; Catenulisporales; Catenulisporaceae
Description: ASpks TB sRNA
Rfam family: ASpks TB sRNA
Source: Rfam by way of RNAcentral
CUUCACCGAGCCCAGCCACAGCGGACGGUCGGCGGGGCGGUCCGCGCCAUACGCGGCGAGCAGCGCCUCGGCCUC